This 212-nucleotide long non-coding RNA is filed under the name Prunus persica (peach). Its description in RNAcentral is "long non-coding RNA (PPER_LNC004418)". Lineage: Eukaryota; Viridiplantae; Streptophyta; Magnoliopsida; Rosales; Rosaceae. The record is from RNAcentral.
AUAGUUUGAAUUUUUAUAAAGUCGUGAUAUGCAUACUACCAAUUUGAAUUUUUAUUCAGUGGAUUAAAACAUGGUGAUGCUUUAUUAAGUGUUUACUUACAACUUCUAUGUAUAAAAAUUGAAGAUAACAAACAACAAGGACAAAGCAAGGACGAAGUGGUCAUAACAUAACAUAAGGAACAGACAUUAAAUAUGACUAUGAAGUUCAUUUC